UAAUUGUUUAAUUGGUUCCCAUUGCCGGUUGGAAAACUCUAUAUGUCCGCUAAGGGCUAGCUUUUAUGAGUAUCUGAUGUAAGGAGGUAGAACACAAAGAACUCUUGUUCCUUUUUUAACCACAUAAUUAACCUAGGUGCCUAGGCAUUAUGUUCUUGAAGCGGCACCUAAGCUGCCCAAGCAUGCCGAGAAACCAAAUUUCAGCCAAGGAUUAACUAUGAGGCUGCUAGUUACAGUUUAUAAUCCCAUUCUAAGUAUCAUUUAUCUUGUCUUUUAAUUAGUUGGAGGAGGGUUGGCAUCACAAGUUCAUUUGGCUUUCAGAUUAUGUCUAGAGUUUGGACUGCAGUUCUAAAUUUUCAACUGAAUUUCAAAUACUCCAACUAAUUAAUUGGUGCAGAGGAACCUUGAAGAAAAUAAACUAGCAACUUAGGGAACAGAUAUUCCUUAGGAUCUUGUUCCCGACGGAAGUUGCUUCAGGAAUCCCUAAAGAAGGAGAGCCAGCUAAGAUGCGGAACAGCUGCGGCCAGCGUUGAUGUGUUCGUGUUCGAAGACCUAACGGCGGCAGAGUGGAAGCGGUUGACGGAGGGAGCAGCGGACGGUGAGGGAGCGGCGGCGGACGAAAAGAGAGCUGCGGUGGCGGACGCCCUCUCCGAGGAGCGGCGGCGCGCGGUCGUCCGGACGGGAAGAUGUUGUCUUGAAUCAGACGUAUUUUGGAACGUUGUAAAAUUGAGCAGAGUAUCUGUACAACGUGGCUCUAGCUGGCCCCACCCUUAUAAUAUUGCUUAAUUAAUGUAAUAGCAAUUAUAUGGUGAAUGUGGACGUUCUGGUGGCUAGUUUUUUUUUU
Lolium rigidum is the source of this 844-nucleotide long non-coding RNA. RefSeq lists it as uncharacterized. The record is from RefSeq and is a predicted model, not a curated record. The transcript is spliced from 2 exons. Lineage: Eukaryota; Viridiplantae; Streptophyta; Magnoliopsida; Poales; Poaceae.